This 424-nucleotide ribosomal RNA is filed under the name uncultured bacterium. RNAcentral's name for it is "bacterial SSU rRNA". It matches the Rfam family "Bacterial small subunit ribosomal RNA", at positions 357 to 772 of the family's 1533-position model. The record is from RNAcentral.
GGGAAUCUUGCACAAUGGGCGAAAGCCUGAUGCAGCAAUGCCGCGUGAGUGAUGAAGGCCUUCGGGUUGUAAAUCUCUGUCGGCCGGGACAAAUAGGUUUUUGGUUAAUAACUAAGAGCAGUGAUGGUACCGGUAAAGGAAGAGGCGGCUAAUUCUGUGCCAGCAGCCGCGGUAAUACAGAAGCCUCAAGCGUUGUUCGGAAUUACUGGGCGUAAAGGGAAUGUAGGCGGUUACGUAAGUCGGAUGUGAAAGCCCUGGGCUUAACCUGGGAAGUGCAUUCGAUACUGCGUGGCUUGAGUGCGAGAGAGGAAAGUGGAAUUCCAGGUGUAGGGGUGAAAUCCGUAGAUAUCUGGAGGAAUACCGAUGGCGAAAGCAGCUUUCUGGCUCGUAACUGACGCUGAGAUUCGAAAGCAUGGGUAGCAAA